This 234-nucleotide ribosomal RNA is filed under the name Triticum aestivum (bread wheat). RNAcentral describes it as "partial small subunit ribosomal RNA". The record is from RNAcentral. Lineage: Eukaryota; Viridiplantae; Streptophyta; Magnoliopsida; Poales; Poaceae.
AUGAAAAUUAUAAGUUGGAACUGCCGGGGGCUUGGGAACGGCCCGGCAGUUCAUGCACUCCUAGAUCUUGGGAGGAAGGAGGAUCCCAACAUUUUGUUCUUGGCUGAAACUAGGUUGACUGGGGAGGAGAUGGAGUGGCUAAGGUGGAAGCUCGGGCUCGCGAGCAUGGUGGCAUGGAACCCGGAGGGUAGGAGUAGGGGGUGGCGCUGUUCUGUAGGAGAGGGGUGGAUGUGA